Molecule: ribosomal RNA, 776 nt
Filed under: Gammarus stankokaramani
Lineage: Eukaryota; Metazoa; Arthropoda; Malacostraca; Amphipoda; Gammaridae
Description: eukaryotic LSU rRNA
Rfam family: Eukaryotic large subunit ribosomal RNA
Source: RNAcentral
UAAGUCAGCCACGAAUAGGCUAUCCCAACUAACGGCGGGAAAGACUCCACGGAGGGUGUAAGACCCGUGUGGGCGCGUGUUAAAGCUGUGUGGGCUCGGCCUCCAUUCCCUGAGAGUCGCGUUGCUUGAGCAUGCAGCGCUAAGCAGGUCGUAAACUCGAUCUAAGGCUAAAUAUUUCCACAGAACCGAUAGCGAACAAGUACCGUGAGGGAAAGUUGAAAAGCACUCUGGAGAGAGAGUCAAAAGACCGUGAAACCGCUCAGAGUAUAAGCCCAUGGCAGCUUGGAAGGCAUAUCGCUAGCGGGGCAUCGGUCUCCCUUCGCGGGGAGCUGGUGUUACCUUGCUUCUGUUGUGGCUCGUCAUGGUAGGGGGGUCAGGUCCACAUCCCGCCGUCGUGUGGAGAGUUCUUGGGUGUGUUGUGGUUUCUCGGUUGGCUUCGGCUUUCCGGGGGGCUCUUCGUACUUGGUUCUCUUUUAGACACGGACGUUCAGACUCAGUUGCAAGACGCGAUAACCAGCCCACCACGGCACGUUGUGAGGUCACCCACAGGCUCGACUUUCGAUCGUGGGCCUUGACGCCGAGCAAGCACAAUGCGUGUCGCAGAUGUUCCUAACCAGGCAAUGGUGCCAGGAUCGUGGAACGACACGCGCUCAAGAGUCAGGUUCGGGCGGAGACAGAGUUCUGGUAUGAUCCUCUUGCGACGAGCCGGCUUCUGGCCGACAUCCGAUGCUCAGGUCUCCCGCAUGUGCCGCGGGAGAUCGCUUUGACGGUCUGGA